Molecule: ribosomal RNA, 445 nt
Filed under: uncultured bacterium
Lineage: Bacteria
Description: bacterial SSU rRNA
Rfam family: Bacterial small subunit ribosomal RNA
Source: RNAcentral
AUUGAACGCUGGCGGCAGGCCUAACACAUGCAAGUCGAGCGGUAGAGAGAAGCUUGCUUCUCUUGAGAGCGGCGGACGGGUGAGUAAUGCCUAGGAAUCUGCCUAGUGGUGGGGGAUAACGUUCGGAAACGGACGCUAAUACCGCAUACGUCCUACGGGAGAAAGCGGGGACCUUCGGGCCUCGCGCCAUUAGAUGAGCCUAGGUCGGAUUAGCUAGUUGGUGAGGUAAUGGCUCACCAAGGCGACGAUCCGUAACUGGUCUGAGAGGAUGAUCAGUCACACUGGAACCGAGACACGGUCCAGACUCCUACGGGAGGCAGCAGUGGGGAAUAUUGGACAAUGGGCGAAAGCCUGAUCAGCCAUGCCGCGUGUGUGAAGAAGGUCUUCGGAUUGUAAAGCACUUUAAGUUGGGAGGAAGGGUAGUAACCUAAUACGUUGCUACUUU